UACGUAGGGUGCGAGCGUUGUCCGGAAUUACUGGGCGUAAAGAGCUCGUAGGUGGUUUGUCGCGUUGUUCGUGAAAACUCACAGCUCAACUGUGGGCGUGCGGGCGAUACGGGCAGACUGGAGUACUGCAGGGGAGACUGGAAUUCCUGGUGUAGCGGUGAAAUGCGCAGAUAUCAGGAGGAACACCGGUGGCGAAGGCGGGUCUCUGGGCAGUAACUGACGCUGAGGAGCGAAAGCGUGGGGAGCAAACAGG
Molecule: ribosomal RNA, 253 nt
Filed under: uncultured bacterium
Lineage: Bacteria
Description: partial 16S ribosomal RNA
Rfam family: Bacterial small subunit ribosomal RNA
Source: RNAcentral